ACGGAGGGUGCGAGCGUUAAUCGGAAUUACUGGGCGUAAAGCGCGCGUAGGUGGUUAUAUAAGCUAGAUGUGAAAGCCCUGGGCUCAACCUGGGAACUGCAUUUAGAACUGUAUGGCUAGAGUACAGCAGAGGAUAGUGGAAUUUCAGGUGUAGCGGUGAAAUGCGUAGAGAUCUGAAGGAACAUCAGUGGCGAAGGCGACUGUCUGGGCUGAUACUGACACUGAGGUGCGAAAGCGUGGGUAGCAAACAGG
Molecule: ribosomal RNA, 252 nt
Filed under: uncultured bacterium
Lineage: Bacteria
Description: partial 16S ribosomal RNA
Rfam family: Bacterial small subunit ribosomal RNA
Source: RNAcentral